GUGGGGAAUCUUCCGCAAUGGACGAAAGUCUGACGGAGCGACGCCGCGUGAGUGAAGAAGGCCUUCGGGUCGUAAAGCUCUGUCAUCAGGGACGAACGGCCGGUGGAGUGGAAAGCCACCGGAUUGACGGUACCUGAGAAGGAAGCCACGGCUAACUACGUGCCAGCAGCCGCGGUAAUACGUAGGUGGCAAGCGUUGUCCGGAAUUAUUGGGCGUAAAGCGCGCGCAGGUGGGAUCUUAAGUCCAUUUUGAAAGUUCGGAGCUCAACUCCGUGAUGGGAUGGAAACUGGGAUUCUUGAGUACCGGAGAGGAAAGCGGAAUUCCCCGUGUAGCGGUGAAAUGCGUAGAUAUGGGGAGGAACACCAGUGGCGAAGGCGACUUUCUGGACGGUGUCUGACACUGAGGCGCGAAAGCCAGGGGAGCGAACGGGAUUAGAUACCCUUGUAGUCC
RNAcentral lists this ribosomal RNA (450 nucleotides) under uncultured bacterium. RNAcentral describes it as "partial 16S ribosomal RNA". It matches the Rfam family "Bacterial small subunit ribosomal RNA", at positions 354 to 796 of the family's 1533-position model. The record is from RNAcentral.